Molecule: long non-coding RNA, 270 nt
Organism: Cyprinus carpio carpio
Lineage: Eukaryota; Metazoa; Chordata; Actinopteri; Cypriniformes; Cyprinidae
Source: Ensembl
CCCCGAUUACGCACAUUUGUGGUUUUGACAAAGGAGCUAGUGUCUGUAUGGGGAAGAAGGUUGAAGGUCAUCGGCUGACCUCAUUGACAUUAGGAUUAAACGACAACUGAUUUCUGAAACAACCGGAAUAGGAAAAUGCAUAAGAUUAAAAGGCAUACAGGUUUGGAACGACACAAAGGAUGAACAUCUGAUAAUCCUCAUCCUAUAGGAGGAUUCCAGAUUCUCCGCAAUCACAACUGAACAUCUAUGGACAGAAUGUGUGACAUGAAA